This 666-nucleotide long non-coding RNA is filed under the name Mus caroli (Ryukyu mouse). RNAcentral describes it as "lncRNA (MGP_CAROLIEiJ_G0003106.1)". The record is from RNAcentral. Lineage: Eukaryota; Metazoa; Chordata; Mammalia; Rodentia; Muridae.
AUACUGUCUCCAGCAUCCUUGGACUUGUGAGACUCUGCAUCUUAAGGAGUUUGGCUUCCUACCUCGCUUGCCAUUUAUGAAUUCCCACAGCAGUCCUGAUGGAGUUCUGGUGGAGUGAUCGGGUGAGCAAGGCAUAGGCAGCCCAGCUACCUCAUGCCACACACUCUUCAGAGAGAAGGAAGUGGGCACAGAGGUCUGCCCAUGAAGAGAUCCCACCCAUGGAUUGGACACUGUCAAAGUGGGGAGGUUUGGAAAAAAAUCAGAUGUGGAAAUAUAAACAGCCAGCAUCCCAAAUUCCCUCUGUGUUGUGCACUUCUCCUCUCAUGUGCUCUCUUAAAAAGACUCUCAAACACCAUCUGCUCAAGGACAUUCAAGGUCAAACAGAAUGAAUGUGCUUCUGCUCAAUGUGGCUCCAUCACCUUUGUCUCUCCCCGACGUAGGCUGGAUUCUGAGUCACUGUGUGGACGCAACUGUCAGUUAGCAAAAUCAACUUCGCAAAGGACUUUCUGUAAGGAACCCAACCUCAGCAGACGAGAACUGUCUCUGACCAGGGAAAGCAGGGAAUCACUUCCGCUCAUGGGCGGCGCUCCAAGAGGAAGUCGAGUGCAUAACGGACGGCCGAGUUUCCCUGUUCCAGUCUUGAGACGAAGCAAGCGCUUUGUCAAG